RNAcentral lists this ribosomal RNA (933 nucleotides) under uncultured archaeon. Its description in RNAcentral is "bacterial SSU rRNA". It matches the Rfam family "Archaeal small subunit ribosomal RNA", at positions 1 to 922 of the family's 1478-position model. The record is from RNAcentral.
UUCCGGAUGAUCCUGCCGGACCCGACUGCUAUUUGGGUGAGGAUAAGCCAUGCGAGUUGAAUGGGAAACCUAAAAAUCCCAUGGCAAACUGCUCAGUAACACAUGAUCAACUUACCCUAUAGAGGAAAAUAACCUCGGGAAACUGAGGAUAAUGUUCCAUAGUUGAAUCGGCUUGGAAAAGUUUUUCAAUAAAAGGGAUAAGGAAAAUGGUCCUUAUCUGCUAUAGGAUAGGAUCGUGCUCGAUUAUGGUUGUUGGUGAGGUAAAGGCUCACCAAGCCGAUAAUCGAUAGGGGCCGUGAGAGCGGGAGCCCCGAGAUGGGUACUGAGACAACGACCCAGGCCUUACGAGGCGCAGCAGGCGCGAAACCUCCGCAAUACACGAAAGUGUGACGGGGUUACCCAAAGUGUUCAUUAGAACUGUGGUAGGUGAGUAAUGUUCCCUACUAGAAAGGAGAGGGCAAGGCUGGUGCCAGCCGCCGCGGUAAAACCAGCUCUUCAAGUGGUCGGGAUAAUUAUUGGGCUUAAAGUGUCCGUAGCCGGUUUAGUAAGUUCCUGGUAAAAUCGGGUAGCUUAACUAUCUAUAUGCUAGGAAUACUGCUAUACUAGAGGGCAGGAGAGGUCUGAGGUACUACAGGGGUAGGGGUGAAAUCUUAUAAUCCUUGUAGGACCACCAGUGGCGAAGGCGUCAGACUGGAACGCGCCUGACGGUGAGGGACGAAAGCCAGGGGAGCGAACCGGAUUAGAUACCCGGGUAGUCCUGGCCGUAAACGAUGCAUACUAGGUGAUGGCACGGCCAUGAGCCGUGUCAGUGCCGUAGGGAAACCGUUAAGUGUGCCGCCUGGGAAGUACGGUCGCAAGGCUAAAACUUAAAGGAAUUGGCGGGGGAGCACCACAAGGGGUGAAGCCUGCGGUUCAAUUGGAUUCAACGCCGGG